Molecule: long non-coding RNA, 620 nt
Organism: Apis laboriosa (Himalayan honeybee)
Lineage: Eukaryota; Metazoa; Arthropoda; Insecta; Hymenoptera; Apidae
Exons: 3
Source: RefSeq, a predicted model, not a curated record
UGUUGUUCUAGGAAUCUGUUAGACAGAGAGAGAAAAAGAAAAAUAAAAAUGGGGCAGUGGCACAUACAAUAACACUAACAUGGGACGCCCUUGCGGUCCUGGCCUUGAAACCACUCAAUACUUCAAGGAGAUCGUACUGCGUUAGCUGUAAGGUGGUAUCUCUUUGCUCAGCUUCUGCCCCAGCCCCACUUGGGCGAAUGUGGUGCCGUCAGGUGGAAAAGAUCUGGCUGGGAAUGUUCUCGCACCUGGAUAACGUUAGACGGGGAAACGUGAGCGUGUUUCACUUUCACGAGAAAUCAGUUCUCCGUCGGAUCGUUUCGAUGGAAUCAUAUUUCGAAACUUCUGUCCUCUUUCUUCGAGUAAUUAGCCGGAAUAUUGGCAAAAUUUCUAAGAGGGGGAUACUCUUUUUUGGAAGAAAGGAAGAAAGAAGGUAUCUUAAUUAUCUGUUCAAAGAUGAUAUCAUCCAUCAGAAAACUGAUUGUUAUUUAUUGCUUAUAUAUAAAGCGCAAUAGGUAUUGUAAAAAAUUUGCAUGGCUUUUUAUACUUAGCUAGGCUUGCGCAUCAGCGAAUCUCGAAUUUUAUAGUCCUAUUAUUAUUCCGCUAUCGACUAAUAAACUAUA